AUUGAACGCUGGCGGCAGGCCUAACACAUGCAAGUCGAACGGUAACAGGAAGAAGCUUGCUUCUUUGCUGACGAGUGGCGGACGGGUGAGUAAUGUCUGGGAAACUGCCUGAUGGAGGGGGAUAACUACUGGAAACGGUAGCUAAUACCGCAUAACGUCGCAAGACCAAAGAGGGGGACCUUCGGGCCUCUUGCCAUCGGAUGUGCCCAGAUGGGAUUAGCUAGUAGGUGGGGUAACGGCUCACCUAGGCGACGAUCCCUAGCUGGUCUGAGAGGAUGACCAGCCACACUGGAACUGAGACACGGUCCAGACUCCUACGGGAGGCAGCAGUGGGGAAUAUUGCACAAUGGGCGCAAGCCUGAUGCAGCCAUGCCGCGUGUAUGAAGAAGGCCUUCGGGUUGUAAAGUACUUUCAGCGGGGAGGAAGGGAGUAAAGUUAAUACCUUUGCUCAUUGACGUUACACGCAGAAGAAGCACCGGCUAACUCCGUG
RNAcentral lists this ribosomal RNA (490 nucleotides) under uncultured bacterium. Its description in RNAcentral is "partial 16S ribosomal RNA". It matches the Rfam family "Bacterial small subunit ribosomal RNA", at positions 30 to 507 of the family's 1533-position model. The record is from RNAcentral.